Molecule: transfer RNA, 66 nt
Filed under: Pteropus alecto (black flying fox)
Lineage: Eukaryota; Metazoa; Chordata; Mammalia; Chiroptera; Pteropodidae
Rfam family: tRNA
About the family: Transfer RNA (tRNA) molecules are approximately 80 nucleotides in length.
Source: Rfam by way of RNAcentral
UCCAUAGUGUAGUGGUUAGCAUGUCUGCUUUACACACAGAAGGUCCUGGGUUCGUGCCCCAGUGGA